GAGUUUGAUCCUGGCUCAGGACGAACGCUGGCGGCGUGCCUAAAACAUGCAAGUCGAACGAGCCUUCGGGCUAGUGGCGAACGGCGGAGUAAGACAUAAGCAACCUGCCCUGAAGACGGGGAUAUACGGGGGAAACCCCGGGUAAUACCCCGAUAUGGCUCCGGAGAGGCAUCUCUUUGGAAUUAAACGGUUUUUCGCUUCAGGAGGGGCUUAAUGAUGCAUCAGGUAGUUGGUGGGGUAAAGGCCUACCAAGCCCGACGACGCAUAGGGGGUCUGAGAGGAUGAUCCCCCGAGUGGGACUGAGACACGGCCCACACACCUACGGGUGGCAGCAGUUGGGAAUCUUGCACAAUGGGGGAAACCCUGAUGCAGCGACGCCGC
RNAcentral lists this ribosomal RNA (381 nucleotides) under uncultured Armatimonadota bacterium. Its description in RNAcentral is "bacterial SSU rRNA". It matches the Rfam family "Bacterial small subunit ribosomal RNA", at positions 9 to 400 of the family's 1533-position model. The record is from RNAcentral. Lineage: Bacteria; Bacillati; Armatimonadota.